Molecule: ribosomal RNA, 274 nt
Filed under: uncultured bacterium
Lineage: Bacteria
Description: partial 16S ribosomal RNA
Rfam family: Bacterial small subunit ribosomal RNA
Source: RNAcentral
AUACGGAGGGUGCGAGCGUUACUCGGAGUCACUGGGCGUAAAGCGUCCGUAGGCGGUCGGGUAAGUCGGGUGUGAAAGCCCCGGGCUCAACCUGGGAAGUGCACCCGAUACUGCUCGACUCGAGUGCGGGAGAGGAUGGCGGAAUUCCCGGUGUAGCGGUGAAAUGCGUAGAGAUCGGGAGGAACACCAGUGGCGAAGGCGGCCAUCUGGCCCGCAACUGACGCUGAGGGACGAAAGCGUGGGGAGCAAACAGGGUUAGAUACCCUAGUAGUCC